UACACAUUAAAAUCAUGACGGUACAUGGAAUAACGUCAUCUUUAAAUUCACACAAGCCACGAACGUGAUCUCGUCGAGGUUUUGUACGUUAUAAGAAACCGCAUUCACUUUGUGCAUGAAUAAGUAAUAAAAAGACGAGCAAGAGUCAUAUAGAAGCGUGAAACAAGAUAAUAUAUUUUCAGCGCAUAAAGAACUCUGUUUCGACACUCGUAAGCGUCAUGGGAACCCAUAGUUGCUAAUUGAGAAGAAUGCAAGGUCAAGGGGUUCCUAUCCAGAUCAUGGCGAGGAUGACAUAAGAAAGAAGCUAUGCUGUGGAAUGAGUCACAAUGUGGAGAAAGUUUUCUGGACAAACUUCAUACAGGAUUUGCGUUACGUUUUCAUAAUAUUCUGAUCCGAUGAGUUAAUUAAUUAAGUACUUCCUGCGACAUAAUUUCGUAAG
Nylanderia fulva is the source of this 439-nucleotide long non-coding RNA. RefSeq lists it as uncharacterized. The record is from RefSeq and is a predicted model, not a curated record. NCBI's taxonomy places the organism in Eukaryota, Metazoa, Arthropoda, Insecta, Hymenoptera, Formicidae.